UUCCUCCUGGCUUAGGAGGUAAGGCCUGCUCACUGAAUAUUUAAAGAGCCGCAGUAUCCUAACUGUGCUAAGGUAGCAUAAUCAUUAGUCUUUUAAUUGGGGACUGGUAUGAAUGGCUUAACGAGAAAUUGACUUUUUUUGUUAUAAAAAUCGAAUUUAAUUUUUUAGUGAAAAAGCUAAAAUUAUUCAGAAAGACGAGAAGACCCUAUAGAGUUUUAUGUUUUAGGAUAUUUUUUCUUAUUUGAUUUUUUAAGGUUAAAUAUUUAAGAACAUUUUGUUGGGGCGACAUUAAGAUAAAAAAAACUCUUUAUUUUUAAAAUUUUUAUAAAAAGAAAGUUUGAUCCUCUAUAAGAGAUCAAAAGAAAAAAUUACCUUAGGGAUAACAGCGUAAUCUUUUUUGAGAGUUCUAAUCGACAAAAAGGUUUGCGACCUCGAUGUUGGACUAAAAUUUAGGCAGGGUGCAGCAGUUCUGCUUUUAGGUCUGUUCGACCUAUAAUAUUUUACACGAUCUGAGUUCAGACCG
RNAcentral lists this ribosomal RNA (523 nucleotides) under Balanus balanus. Its description in RNAcentral is "partial 16S ribosomal RNA". It matches the Rfam family "Bacterial large subunit ribosomal RNA", at positions 1834 to 2618 of the family's 2925-position model. Lineage: Eukaryota; Metazoa; Arthropoda; Thecostraca; Balanomorpha; Balanidae. The record is from RNAcentral.